RNAcentral lists this long non-coding RNA (1166 nucleotides) under Homo sapiens (human). RNAcentral describes it as "HSALNT0330647". The record is from RNAcentral. Lineage: Eukaryota; Metazoa; Chordata; Mammalia; Primates; Hominidae.
CAGCAGCUGACAGAAUAAUCCACACAUUGGUUUCCUUACCUAUGGAGUGAGGGCUAUUAUGGUGGAAAAGGCCAAGUAGAAGCCACUAGAACUAUCUGUACUUAGGAAAAUAGUAAACCAAAAGCAAUGCUCAAUUCCUAUAGGGACUGAAGAGAUUAGUGCCACCAUAAGUACUUGAAGGAAGGCGGGGUGGUGAUUCCUACCAUAUGUCCAUUCAACUCGCCUAUUUAGCCUGGGCAGAAGACAGAUGGAUUAUCACAAACUUAACUAGGUGGUGACUCCAAUUGCAGCUACAGUACCAGAUGUAUUGCUUGAGCAAAUUAACACAACUCCUGGUUCCUGGUAUGCAGCUACCUGGAAUCUUGAUUGCCUUUUCUUUCCACAUCACAUUGGUCCAUUACAUUGACGACAUUAUGCUCACUGGACCUAAUGAGUGAGACAUAGCAACUACUCCAGACCUAUUGCUUUUCUGCAUGGAAGAAUUAAAUUGAGAAAAACAUAGUUAUUUAAAAAAUCACAUCGUAACUGAGUUAACAAGGCACUCAGGUUCUAAUCAUAGAUUACCUUCCUUCUUCAUCUUCCAGCUGUUUUCUAAAGUCUUCCUCCUGUUGCUUGAGUUGGUUCUGCAAAUCAGUUAUUUUUUGAAGAAAAGAAACUGUGAUUUCUUUAAUUUCUGUUUCCUUUAGUGCUGACUUGGUCUGCAGAUCUAGAAGCAUCCUUUGGUUUGAGAGAGAAGAGGUCACUAAACAUUUUAUAGCCACUUUCAUUAAUUUUUCCUUUUUUUUUCUUUAAACCUCAAGGAACUCUUCAAGAAGUGUCAUUUUUUAACUGAGUAAAUUCUUAAUUUGCAGUAUAAGAUGGCCAAAAGCAAGCCAAGGGACAGUUACUAGCUGGCUUUCAACAUUAAAUUGUCUUAAUGGUUCUAAGGCCAUUAUUUGCUCUAUAUACCUUACAUAUUCUUGAUUUGAGCUCUCAGUUGCCAAAAUCUGAUGCUGAACAUCCUCUGCAUUUUUCCCAGCCUUGGCCGCUUUUUCCUGUAAUGAUGAGUUCUCCAGCUUAAGAUCUUCUAUCUCACUGGCUGUUAACGCUUUAUAGCUUAUUAAAAAGAAAAAAAAGUCAAAGUAGUUUUCUAACUAUUGCGUAUGACAAUCAUAACUGAUUAGUUU